This is a long non-coding RNA of Chelonia mydas (Green sea turtle), 1117 nucleotides long. RefSeq lists it as uncharacterized. The transcript is spliced from 3 exons. The record is from RefSeq and is a predicted model, not a curated record. NCBI's taxonomy places the organism in Eukaryota, Metazoa, Chordata, Testudines, Cheloniidae.
UUGCUGGUGAGGAAGCCUAUGAAACUCUUCUGGCAAGGAGGCCUGGGCAAGACCCUGCUCAAGCAGGGAACAGACAGAGAACCCUGAGAAUUUCCACUGAAUGUGUCGCUUUUGAUAAUCUGCCAUGCCACGAGUAUGGAGAGACUUCAUCAGGCUGAAUUUCAGAAAUGAAUUUUGAAUGCAUCUGAAUUGUGAAACUGUCCUUAGUUGCAGCAAUGCCAAUCAUGAGUUAUUCCACUGAUGUCGAUGGAGUUGAGUCGGAGUAAGUGAAAUUGGAAUCAAGGCUGGUGUGUCUCUGGUGGAUACACUAGUAAAAGUUAUACAGCUAACCCAGCAAACUUAAAAACAAACAAAACCCUCUCAAAUGUUUAUGCGAAUCCAAAAUUGCUAAAUUUCAUCUGCGUUUGAAUUUUGGCUCUGCUCUAGUAAUCUGAGGCAAAGAAAGGUUAAAGCACCAGCUCUAAGCAUUAAAAAAUUAGGAGUCAGGUCCCAAAAAUCUGGAGACUGGCUUAAAAACCAUGAGAUUUUUAAAUAUAAUAGAAUUCUUUUUAUUUGCUUUCUGGAUUUUGCUCUCAGGACAGAGUUUCAAACUUUUAUCCACAACCACAAGGACUACAAACUUCUUUUCAUUUAAAAAAACAAAACAAAACAACAACUGUGACUCUCCUGAAAGCCCCUAGAUUUGUGGAGCUCUGGGGCUUAAUGAAAAACUCUCAGUACUUGUGGAAAAACUUGUGAUGAAAUCAGGAGAGUAGAGACACUGGAGCUGGUAAUAGAACACAGGAGUCCGAACUUUCAGGCUGCACGAUAACUACUAGAGGAGAAUUCCUCCCAUGCAGGCCUUCCAAGGUGGAAGUGAAGAUCCACUCCAUACCCUUCAGUUUUUCCACACCUUUUAAAUUACAAUUCAGUACUGUGACAUCACAUUGCUAGUAUUUGCUACUUAGUAGAUCAUGUUGCCAGAUUCUGGUCUCAGUUACUGCAGUGUAAUUCCUAAGUAACUCCAGUGAUGUGUAGUAGAUCUCAAUCUGGCCCUCUGUUUAAUAGCACACACGUUUGUGUGCCUGAAAUAACAACUCUCAUUAAAAAUACUCCAGUAUUCUAGAUUCAUUGCUCA